RNAcentral lists this unclassified non-coding RNA (235 nucleotides) under uncultured Lepiota. RNAcentral's name for it is "sequence contains ITS1". The record is from RNAcentral. Lineage: Eukaryota; Fungi; Basidiomycota; Agaricomycetes; Agaricales; Agaricaceae.
UUGAACAAGUAUGGUGGGUUGUAGCUGGCUUCACGAAGCAUGUGCACACCUGCUGUCUUUAUAUAUCCCUCUGUGCACAAUUUGUAGUCCUGGAGAGCGAGCAGCUCAGCUCCCGCGUCGGAAAGGAAGUGAUUUCUUUCGCUGGGUGUUUGAUUCAGGUCUAUGUAUUUUCCAUAGACAAUAUAGCAUGUUACAGAAUGUAGUCAUUGGGUCAUUGUGCCUAUAAAACUCUAUA